Molecule: RNA transcript, 3253 nt
Organism: Olea europaea var. sylvestris
Lineage: Eukaryota; Viridiplantae; Streptophyta; Magnoliopsida; Lamiales; Oleaceae
Gene name: maltose excess protein 1-like, chloroplastic
Exons: 11
Source: RefSeq, a predicted model, not a curated record
AACAUUGGAGCAAUUAACUCUCCAUCCGCGUGACAUGCAAAAAGGUCGAAGACAAACGGUUUGUUCCCUCCUACAAAUAUCAAGAACACAAACCGCCCACACCACCUCCUGCGGAUCAGGUUCGGUUCAGGAUAUCUGAAAGUUCACAUGCUCACAAGAAACAUAUGCAUACUUUUGAUAUAAAACUUCUGGAAAAUUAAGGAACCCAAAUAAAAUAUUGCAUCUCUUAAAAGUGUAGUGUUCUCUCGUUCGUUCUGCAGCGGCUUUUUAAACUGGGUUUUCUUGUUUCUGCUUGUUGAAAUGCCCAGAAGAAAUUUUCUUUGUACUUGAGGACCAUGACAAUUGAAAUCGCUAGAAUGGGUUGGUGAUCGCUUUGAUGAAGCAUUAAUUUGAAAGAAUUACGAGCUUUGGGUUCAGAUAAUUUCAGGAUAAGCUAUCACAAAUUGUGGAGAACGUAUAGUUUUAACUGCUAAUGAGGAUGCAGCAUUUCACUUGGAAUUUUGUCACCGGCAAAUUAAUAUGACUAUAUCUUGAAUUGCACCUUUUGGCCAAAUUCCAUAAUUGCAAUUGCAAUUGCAAUUGCAAGACACAGAUUAUUAUUUUCUGAAAAGUCAAAUGGCAAGUUCAUUACUACCUUGGGGUAAGGUACCCCUGCAAAUUUGUCGACUGUCCUAUUGCUCUUAUCCUCAUCAUUUAGAGUUCAUUUUCUGUCCACAAUCGUACUCCAAACGAAUUAUCCAUGAAAAGCCCAAUUCGAAGGAGACGCUGGUCUUCGGACUAUCAGCAUGCCAUUAUCAGCUCAAACCAGCUACCGCGCUUAACUCGGAAGAAUCGCAUCCCACUAAUCAGGAAAACCAAACACAGGAACCAUCAACACUAAGAAGAGGUGAGAACUUUGAGCAAUGGGAUUCAAUGACAGCAAAGUUUGCAGGAGCUGCAAAUGUACCAUUUCUGUUGUUGCAACUGCCUCAGAUCAUACUUAAUGCUCGGAAUCUUCAAGCAGGAAACAAGUCUGCACUCUUAGCUGUUCCAUGGCUGGGGAUGUUCACUGGAUUGCUAGGGAAUCUGUCUUUGAUGUCAUACUUUAUCAAGAAGAGGGAGACUGAAGCAGUGGUGGUGCAGACUUUAGGAGUUGUAUCCAUCUUUGUUGUGAUGUUGCAGCUGGCCAUGGCUGAAGCGAUGCCUCUUCCUCAUUUCAUUGCCACUUCCAUUGUGGUUGCUUCUGGCCUCAUCGUGAAUUUUAUGAAAUACUUUCAUUUGCUCAAUCUGGAAAUCUGGCAUGUUUGGGAAGAUUUUAUUACUAUUGCAGGGCUCUCUGCCCUUCCACAAGUUAUGUGGUCGACAUUUGUUCCAUAUGUUCCAAACACUAUCUUGCCUGGAGUGAUUUCCUUUUCGACCGCUGUGCUUGCUGUUCUUAUGGCUCGGAUUGGUAAGCUCUCGGACCAAGGCACAAAAUUUCUGGGAUCAGUAUCUAGCUGGUGUGCCACUCUUCUUUUCAUGUGGAUGCCUGUUGCACAAAUGUGGACAAAUCUUCUGAAUCCUGAUAACAUAAGAGGUUUGUCAGCUGUCACAAUGUUACUAGCCAUGAUUGGAAAUGGAUUUAUGAUUCCACGUGCCUUAUUUAUUCGGGAUUUCAUGUGGUAUGUCUGUGUCCCUUUUCCUACUGUCCAAUGAUUUUGCUUAGGUUUAAAUAUGGUUAAUCUAAUCGACAUUUCAUUAUUAAGAAGGCAAAGGCCCGCAUUUUUCUGUUUUAUAAAUUUAGUUGUGUUUCUAAUGAUGUUUCUUUGUUAUUCCAUAAACGCAAUAAAAUAUUGUGGCUUUUUAAUGUAUUGAGGAGUUAAUAACAUGCUCUAAGUUGGGCAAAGUAGUAGAUUAUAAGCUACAAAGUGUGUGGAUAAUAAGUGAGUAUAAGUUUUGAGUUCUAUGGGAUCGCAUUAAUGCGAAUAGAUGAGAAGUCGACUUGGCGAUUUGGUGACCCCUAAAGAUAUGUUCUUUACAAAUGGAUCCCACGAACUUCGACUCUGCUUAGGCGGGCGAACCACGGCAAAUGAAUCAGCUAAUGGGUGGAUUGAAGACUAAGGGAGCAACCAUGCUGAUCUGACUUGAAGACGUCGCGACUAUGUGGACUUCGUCAAUCGUGAUUGCUCUCCUUUACAGCUUCUAGAGGGCUCGACUAGUGCUCCAAACUUAGCCUGUUGAUUUAAGCUGAAGAAGUACUAAGCCGGGGCCGAUUGGAGUUGGUAUCAUUGAAAAUGAUAACACCUUACCAUACUUCAAGAUUGUGCACAGCACUCCCCCACUUUACUUUCUCUUAUCAGGGGCAAUAUCCUUUGCCUAUGUCAAAGACAGCUUAUUCGUCGUACUAACGUGUUUUUUAUUGGGAUUGGGUGUCUGGUGGUAUCUUCUGCCGCAAAUCAGGUGCUAAUAAAUUGGAUUCCUCCGGAUGCCUAGGAUAUAAAAAUAAAUGUUGACGGCGCUUUGAGUGGAAACCUGGGACCGGCAGGAGCUGGAGGGCUUUCCUUCGCCUACCCCGGAAAUGAUUGAGAAUGACGACUCCUCUAUCUACGCUCUUCCGUAGGUCAAGAAAGCAACCACCCUAUGUAGUAGUUAUCCCUGGCAGGUUCACUGGUUCGAGUUGGGGCUGUAUUUUCUAUGGAUUGGGCAACCUAAUAUGCAUGUAUUGCUUCAACAGUAUUAGCAAGGAGUUCUUCUUGGCUGCAACCCUUGGCUUUAUUGCCUGGAUAGGAAUCACUCUAUGGAGAGACUCUCAAGCUUAUGGAUACUCCUCACCAUUAACAUCUUUAAAGGAGUUGGUUUUUGGCCCCUGAAGUUCCUUCUCCUCUGCUUUUGUGAAGACAAUAUUCAAGCUGUACUGUGGCAACAUGCAAGAAAUGCAACAGUUCCUCUAAACUUGAUCAAGUUUCUGGAUUGAAAUCAGUUUGAUUUUGAGCUUUGGCGAAUCAAAGUCAGAAGAAUGUUAAUUCAAAUCUUCCACGCAAAUGAAAUGAAAUGCUGCGGAUAAAAGUACUUUCACUCUUAUCUGUAAAUUCCGUCUCUAGUUCCACAGAUAAAGUAGUUGAACUUAAAACCUUUAUGGAAAACAACAUCGUGCUGUAUUGGUUGAUAUCACACAGAUUGUAAGACAGAGGAUCAAGUUGCUAUCAGCAGUUAAAAUUUUUCGACUCUGAUAUACUUCCCAUUAAAAUCUGUAUUUGAACAAUUAAUGAGAAGCCAAUUUUAUGUAUUCAUUUUA